GAUGAACGCUGGCGGCGUGCCUAAUACAUGCAAGUCGAGCGAAGAGGGGACGGGUGAGUAACACGUGGAUAACCUCCUAUAAGACUGGGAUAACUUAGGGAAACCGGAGCUAAACCGGAUACGUAUUGAUGGAUCAGCGAUGCAUUAGCUCUUUGGUAAGUUAACGGCUUACCAAGGCAACGAUGCAUAGCCGACCUAAGAGAGUGAUCGGCCACACUGGAUAUGAGACACGGUCCAGACUCCUACGGGAGGCAGCAGUAGGGAAUCUUCCGCAAUGGGCGAAAGCCUGACGGAGCAACGCCGCGUGAGUGAUGAAGGUCUUCGGAUCGUAAAACUCUGUUAUUAGGGAAGCGGUACCUAAUCAGAAAGCCACGGCUAACUACGUGCCAGCCGCCGCGGUAAUUC
RNAcentral lists this ribosomal RNA (405 nucleotides) under uncultured bacterium. RNAcentral describes it as "partial 16S ribosomal RNA". It matches the Rfam family "Bacterial small subunit ribosomal RNA", at positions 28 to 526 of the family's 1533-position model. The record is from RNAcentral.